GACGAACGCUGGCGGCGUGCCUAAUACAUGCAAGUCGAGCGCAGGAAAUCGACGGAACCCUUCGGGGGGAAGUCGACGGAAUGAGCGGCGGACGGGUGAGUAACACGUAAAGAACCUGCCCUCAGGUCUGGGAUAACCACGAGAAAUCGGGGCUAAUACCGGAUGGGUCAUCGGACCGCAUGUUCCGAGGAUGAAAGGCGCUUCGGCGUCGCCUGGGGAUGGCUUUGCGGUGCAUUAGCUAGUUGGUGGGGUAAUGGGCCACCAAGGCGACGAUGCAUAGCCGACCUGAGAGGGUGAUCGGCCACACUGGGACUGAGACACGGCCCAGACUCCUACGGGAGGCAGCAGUAGGGAAUCUUCCACAAUGGACGAAAGUCUGAUGGAGCAACGCCGCGUGAACGAUGAAGGCCUUCGGGUCGUAAAGUUCUGUUGUAAGGGAAGAACAAGUGCCGCAGGCAAUGGCGGCACCUUGACGGUACCUUGCGAGAAAGCCACGGCUAACUACGUGCCAGCCGCCGCCGUAA
Molecule: ribosomal RNA, 524 nt
Filed under: uncultured bacterium
Lineage: Bacteria
Description: partial 16S ribosomal RNA
Rfam family: Bacterial small subunit ribosomal RNA
Source: RNAcentral